This 73-nucleotide transfer RNA is filed under the name Camelus bactrianus (Bactrian camel). It matches the Rfam family "tRNA". Rfam says of the family: Transfer RNA (tRNA) molecules are approximately 80 nucleotides in length. Their secondary structure includes four short double-helical elements and three loops (D, anti-codon, and T loops). The record is from Rfam by way of RNAcentral. RNAcentral also lists the same sequence under 2 other names. Lineage: Eukaryota; Metazoa; Chordata; Mammalia; Artiodactyla; Camelidae.
AAAGGUAUAGCUCAAGUGGUAGAGUGUGUGCUUAGCAUGCAUAAAGUCCUGGGUUCAAUCCCCAGUGCCUCCU